GACAGUGGCGUAGCUACAAUAGCAAGCAAAACAGACUCAGACCCUCAUGGAACUUAAAGUCUGGGAAGGAAGAAAGUUGUUAACCAAGUGAUCAGACAAAUCAAAAACAGAAACUGAGAUAAGGAAGCAGAAGAAAAAUAUUCCUGUACACGCACCCAGAGGCUUUUGCAGGAGGCGGCUGUUGGAGAACUGGGAAAACAAGCCAAGAAACAAGAGAGAGGAAAAAGACCACGCCUCGCCUGGCAGAUUCCU
RNAcentral lists this long non-coding RNA (252 nucleotides) under Homo sapiens (human). RNAcentral's name for it is "HSALNT0290990". Lineage: Eukaryota; Metazoa; Chordata; Mammalia; Primates; Hominidae. The record is from RNAcentral.